Harpia harpyja (harpy eagle) is the source of this 379-nucleotide long non-coding RNA. RefSeq lists it as uncharacterized. The transcript is spliced from 4 exons. NCBI's taxonomy places the organism in Eukaryota, Metazoa, Chordata, Aves, Accipitriformes, Accipitridae. The record is from RefSeq and is a predicted model, not a curated record.
AUUUUUGUGGACUGAAGCAUGCCAAGCAUCGUCAAGACAGAAAAAGAGGAAGCGAAACAGAAGGGAGAGGAGAGCGAAGGAAUGCAUGCUUUCUAUUUUUACAGUAGGAAGAGAAAGACAAGUUUACACAAAAGAACAGAAAGGGGAAGUAACUGACAGAGCUCAUUGCACCUUGACUGUCCUGCAGCCUCCAGACACUAUGUAGAACUGGCAUUGAGAUGGGACAGUUCUAGGCAAUCACUUUAAAACAAAUAUAUUUCAUACCAUAUGAAGAAAGCAGAACAAUGUAGGCCCUGCAUCUCUUCUGCACGCAAAUUCCUGUGAAUCAAAGCCUUGACUGAUGUUCUUUGUGGAGAUUAGCCUUCAACAAUCCAAGUAA